CCAGGCGGUCUACUUAUCGCGUUAGCUGCGCCACUAAAGCCUCAAAGGCCCCAACGGCUAGUAGACAUCGUUUACGGCAUGGACUACCAGGGUAUCUAAUCCUGUUUGCUCCCCAUGCUUUCGCACCUCAGCGUCAGUGUUAGGCCAGAUGGCUGCCUUCGCCAUCGGUAUUCCUCCAGAUCUCUACGCAUUUCACCGCUACACCUGGAAUUCUACCAUCCUCUCCCACACUCUAGCUAACCAGUAUCGAAUGCAAUUCCCAAGUUAAGCUCGGGGAUUUCACAUUUGACUUAAUUAGCCGCCUACGCGCGCUUUACGCCCAGUAAAUCCGAUUAACGCUUGCACCCUCUGUAUUACCGCGGCUGCUGGCACAGAGUUAGCCGGUGCUUAUUCUGCGAGUAACGUCCACUAUCUGAAGGUAUUAACUUCAGUAGCCUCCUCCUCGCUUAAAGUGCUUUACAACCAUAAGGCCUUCUUCACACACGCGGCAUGGCUGGAUCAGGCUUGCGCCCAUUGUCCAAUAUUCCCCACUGCUGCCUCCCGUAGGAGUCUGGGCCGUGUCUCAGUCCCAGUGUGGCGGAUCAUCCUCUCAGACCCGCUACAGAUCGUCGCCUUGGUAGGCCUUUACCCCACCAACUAGCUAAUCCGACUUAGGCUCAUCUAUUAGCGCAAGGUCCGAAGAUCCCCUGCUUUCUCCCGUAGGACGUAUGCGGUAUUAGCAUUCCUUUCGAAAUGUUGUCCCCCACUAAUAGGCAGAUUCCUAAGCAUUACUCACCCGUCCGCCGCUAAGUGAUAGUGCAAGCACCAUCACUCCGCUC
RNAcentral lists this ribosomal RNA (818 nucleotides) under uncultured Acinetobacter sp. RNAcentral describes it as "partial 16S ribosomal RNA". Lineage: Bacteria; Pseudomonadati; Pseudomonadota; Gammaproteobacteria; Moraxellales; Moraxellaceae. The record is from RNAcentral.